AUUUUCAUACAAAUUUCUCUUGAAGAUGUCUAUCUUGGCAAAGCUUUGUUUCCUGGUGUUGUUAACUGGCAUUGUUCUGGGUAAUAAAUCACCUGAGGACUUUGUGGAAGGAAACCACAAUUUUCAGAAGCGGAUUGGUUGUAUGUUUACGUGUGAAGAAGGACCAUUCUGUUCCUCUGGCCUGCCCCCUACGGGCGAUCCCUGCCCCGAAAUGGCAGACGUUUGUUGUCAAAUGUGAGAAGCCGUCUCAAAUGAUUUGCAGUUUUCUUUGUUAGUACUAUGAAAGAGGAAAUGGGAUGACUUGAAUUAAACCUGUGAAAACUGCUGUCUAA
Molecule: long non-coding RNA, 332 nt
Organism: Orbicella faveolata
Lineage: Eukaryota; Metazoa; Cnidaria; Anthozoa; Scleractinia; Merulinidae
Source: RefSeq, a predicted model, not a curated record